This 332-nucleotide long non-coding RNA is filed under the name Ananas comosus (pineapple). RNAcentral's name for it is "long non-coding RNA (ACOM_LNC011423)". Lineage: Eukaryota; Viridiplantae; Streptophyta; Magnoliopsida; Poales; Bromeliaceae. The record is from RNAcentral.
AAAGUUUAAAGAAUAUAAGGAGUCUUAUAAGAUUUGAACUUAGGAGUAAGAAUUUAAUUAAGUACUGUCGGCACGGAUCGUAUCCACCGUAUUGUAUCGUGACAACAAGAUAUCGGUAUAUAUAAUACAGUUUCCGUGUUGAUAACACAACAUAAAAAUCUCUAUUAUUUAAAUAAGUAAGUAAUUUUUUUAAUAAAGUUCAAAGAUUUGAUUAAGAUACAUAAUAAACAAUUAAAAUAUUUUGUUGUUAAAGAAAAUAAAUAUUUCAUGCCAUUAUGCGCCAGCGCACAUAAUUUUUUUGUGACCGACACGCUUCGAUACACACCGUACUG